CAGGAUGUAAAAGAUGAUUAUGUAUUUGAAUGUGAAGCUGGUACUCAGUAUCAGAAAACAAAGCUGACCAUCUUGCAGUCGCUUGGAGAUCCACUUUACUAUGGUAAAAUACAGCCAUGUAAAGCAGAUGAAGAAAGUGACAGCCAGAUGUCUCCAUCACACUCGUCCACAGAUGAUCAUUCAAAUUGGUUCAUUAUUGGAUCAAAGACCGAUGCUGAGAGGGUAGUCAAUCAGUACCAGGAAUUAGUCCAGAAUGAAGCCAAAUGUCCGGUCAAGAUGUCACACAGCUCCAGUGGCUCAGCCAGUCUGAGUCAGGUCUCUCCAGGGAAAGAAACAGAUGUGUGUUUCAUUAAUGUUACUUCUUUGUGCCCAGUUGUUUCACAAGUAAUCUGAGAAAUGUUAAGAAUCAUUUUUGGAGGCUAGGCACAGUGGCUCAUGCCUGUAAUCCCAACACUUUGGGAGGCCAAGGUAACUAUUUUACACCACAACAGACAAGCAGCUUUCUCAAAUCUCCAACUCCUCCUCCUU
Molecule: small RNA, 528 nt
Filed under: Pan troglodytes (chimpanzee)
Lineage: Eukaryota; Metazoa; Chordata; Mammalia; Primates; Hominidae
Description: processed transcript
Source: RNAcentral